Molecule: microRNA precursor, 59 nt
Filed under: Xenopus laevis (African clawed frog)
Lineage: Eukaryota; Metazoa; Chordata; Amphibia; Anura; Pipidae
Description: Xla-Mir-31-P17_pre stem-loop
Source: RNAcentral
AGGCAAGAUGUUGGCAAAGCUGUAGCAUCAGAAACCUGCUGUGCCAUCAUAUUGCCAUC